GUCGACCCAUACGCCUCCCACAACAAAACACCAAAUGGCCAACUCCCAACGGAGCACAAAACGGAGACGCCGUGGACUGAUCACACCGCCACGGAAGGUGUCAUGCCUCGGUGCCAAGAGGACAUGCCUGUGUUACCCCCACAGGUGGUUAUAGCUCAGGUAUACCCUACAGUAUUCUAACAAAAUAUAAUGUCACAACACAUGCGACAAAAUAUCAACACAAAGGGGUUCUAACAUGUACAUGUUAAAUCGAACGAAUCGUCAACACAAGUCUCUAAAAAUAUACUAACAUGUACAUCACUAUAAAUAUAAAAAUAAAAUUUAGACAUGACACACUAGUCUAAAGAGUACAAAUGUGAGUUCUAAUACAACGCCAAAAUAAAUUUAUCACAAUAAAUUGACAAGGAACAAUUAUGAGAGAGAAUACUAAAUUUCGAAAUGAAUAACGAAACGAACGAAUUAAAAACAAAAGAGUCUUGCUGAAAGAGUACG
RNAcentral lists this long non-coding RNA (492 nucleotides) under Panax ginseng (ginseng). Its description in RNAcentral is "long non-coding RNA (PGIN_LNC015585)". The record is from RNAcentral. Lineage: Eukaryota; Viridiplantae; Streptophyta; Magnoliopsida; Apiales; Araliaceae.